RNAcentral lists this long non-coding RNA (299 nucleotides) under Setaria viridis. RNAcentral describes it as "long non-coding RNA (SVIR_LNC006101)". The record is from RNAcentral. Lineage: Eukaryota; Viridiplantae; Streptophyta; Magnoliopsida; Poales; Poaceae.
GAUAAUGAUGGAGAAUUACGGGAUGACGAAUGGCUUUUUUUUUCAUUGAUAUGAGAAUUUAAUGUUAAUAUGCAUCUAUACAUCUUGUUUAUAUCUAUUGAUUUGUGAUUUCUUUGUGACCUUACCAUGAAAUGUAAUGACUAACUUAAAACUUUAUUUUUUAAGUAAACUUGAUGUUUAAUAUUCAUAUAUGCUCUAAAAUUUUGAUUAUUUUUUGAAUUUCGCUAUUUGGACUUAGUGUCCGAUAUAGCACCCACUAUCCGCGAUCUACUACCAUACCGCUAAACGGUACUCCAUCC